Molecule: long non-coding RNA, 383 nt
Filed under: Eucalyptus grandis
Lineage: Eukaryota; Viridiplantae; Streptophyta; Magnoliopsida; Myrtales; Myrtaceae
Description: long non-coding RNA (EGRA_LNC007607)
Source: RNAcentral
GAGGCAUGGAGGGAUGAUCGUUUGUUUUGCCUUGAUUAGGUCAUUCUAGAGUUUAAGAUUAUGCAUCUGUCUCUUUCUUCCCAAAAUAAAGAGAAGAAAGAACCCUUGAGCGGAAGAACAGUCGAAUUUUGUAAAAUGCUUGGAGCUACUCCUCCUCCUUCCGUGGAUGUGAAUUUAGCAAGGACAGUUUAUAGUUGGCAGUGUAAUGGAAUGGAAGAAACACCAAUGAGUCCUGGAAGAACUUUGGCUGUCUUCUUAUCCACCGUUACUUCAUUCAUGUUUUUUUAUCAAAUUGGACUUUGCGUUCGAUCAUCAUGUGUCUUCUGUUUUCUUCGGCUCAAGAAUGAUGGUCUUGUGUAUUCGAUUAAUAUUUAUGAUUGGCA